GUGUAUCUCGCCACCCAUUGCUUGGAAAAGGUGGCGAAAGUUUUGUGGAAGCGAGUCAAACGGGAUCGGCUUCCCGGCCUUCCGCCAAUGCUGUGGGAGGAAUUCAAGCGGGAGAUGUUCGCCAACUAUUUCCCCGACACAUUGAAGCGGAAGCUCAAGGAGAAGUUCCGCAAGCUAGAGCAAGGGGACCGCUCAGUGGCGGAUAUGAACAAGAAUUCUCCCAUAUUAUAGAUUGCGUCCCGGAUGUUGUAAAGGAUGACCGGGACCGGGCCGAGUGGUUCUUGCGAGGACUUCGGCCGGGAAUUUACAAGGCCGUGCAAAUACUCAAGCUCACGACCUUUGCGGAGGUCUUCGAUCAAGCCCUAUGGGCGGAGCACGGAGAUGCCCACGUUCGGGAGAAGCAUGAGGCUUUGGCCGAGUCCAAGGACAAGGGCAAGAACGCCAAGGCGGCGGUAGUUCGGGGGGACAGACAUGUUACAAGAGACCCCCGAAGUAUCUGCGCACUCAAAAGAAGGGCGGUGGAGCGCGGCGAUGCAUUGUGCGCGGCGGAGACCACCCGGUCUCGCGCUGUGAGCAAGGCCGAGGCAAGUGCUACAAGUGUGGGCAGCCGGGGCACUUCAUUCGAGAUUGCUAG
RNAcentral lists this long non-coding RNA (634 nucleotides) under Ananas comosus (pineapple). RNAcentral describes it as "long non-coding RNA (ACOM_LNC039914)". The record is from RNAcentral. Lineage: Eukaryota; Viridiplantae; Streptophyta; Magnoliopsida; Poales; Bromeliaceae.